UAGCAACCUCCAGAAGCUACAAAAUGUUUUGUUUUAAUUUUAGUGUAUUCUUGCAGAACAUGGAAUAUACAAAUAUAUCUAUGUUUUUUCAUCUACUUUAAUUCACUGUAGUAAUUUAUUUUAUUUUUUAAUAAUGAAAGUCUUCAUAAAUUUGACAUAUGACUUUUGGCUACUUCACUUAAGAGUGAGUGUGUAUGUUGCAGAUUCAUGUGUGUGGUUUGCAUUUUUUUGAGGUUUUGGUUUGUUCUUAUUUUUCUUAUUUCACAUUUAUGUUUUUAAAGUUAUUCCUUCUUUAUUUUUUUAAUCACAGCAAUCCUCCCCUCAUCCAUGGUUUCAUUUUCUAUGGUUCCAGUUACUCAUGGUCAACCAUGGUCAGAAAACAGGUGCUAGUUCUGUGAUAGCAGGCGAGUUCUCGUGAGAUCUCAUCAUUGAAAAGUGUGUGGCACCUCCCCCAACCUUGGUCCUGCUCCUGUAACAUGUAAGACACCUGCUCCUGCUUUGCCUUCUGCCAGGAGUAAAAGCUCCCCUAGGCCUCCUACAAGGCAGAUGCUGCCAUGCUUCUUGCACAACCUGUGGAACCAUAAGCCAAUUAAACCUCUUUUCUUCACCCAGUCUCAGGACAAACUGAGAGUAAAAGAUGCAGGAAUAAAACACAGAAAUCAAAAUAAAGGGUUUACUGCUGAAAAAUCCGCUUGAACAAGCCUGUUAAUGUGAUCUUCCUGAAUGAAGCCAGCUUACCCCUAGGCCUCCACUGUCCCUCAGGAAAGAGAACACGAAAACUGGAACUCUCUGCAGAAAGGAGGAUCCCAAAGAAGGGGCCAAGCUGUACAUUUAUCAAUCAGGAAAGCCACUCCACCCUCCAUGGCAGCCCCUACAAUUUGAAACAAGUAUUCUUCCUAACAUAACACAUUAAUUCAUGAGUUUAUCAGUUCAUUUCAUUUUUACUUUGAGAUUUUUGUGAAUAACCAUAGAAAAAUCUAUUUCACCUGGCAAUAAAUAGGAAAAGGCACAGCAUAAUGUUUAAAUACAGAGAAUAUUGUUACAUGUAAGAUGUUGAUUGAAUGUUCUAAAUACAAUUUGAAAACUGCGUGAGAGGAGGAAAACGUAUAUUCAGAAGGACUUAGGUGAAUCCAGAUGAAUAUUUUCAUGACAGGAUGUUGGCUAUUGAUAUGAAGAAAGUAGAGGAAUAGACUUGCUAAAAGUUAGAGGAGUCUAGUUUAUCUUCCAAGAAGCUUUGCAACCCUGUAAUACUGUAGAAAUCACAAAUUUGGCAAUAAUUUUAAGAUAAUUUAUGUUCAUUUUUUAUGGAAUGCCAUGUUUAUCUUUUUAUAUAUGACAUUUUCUGGUCAGUAGUAAUAUAUAUAUCCUUUAUUAAAAUUGGAAAAUAAAUACAAACAUUUUAUUUAUUUAUUGGUUAAAAAAUUAUUAUGCUCAUUCUUUUUUUUUUUAACCAGUAAGGAUCUGGAUAAAGAAAAACAUUUUAGAAAACCACUUGUAGAGUACCAUGAACCAGUCUCUCUUCUCCAUUUUAAAAAAUUUAUUGACUCACUUUUUUUCCAUAACUUUUUGAGAUAUUAUUUCAACCACUUUGCAUUUAGAGAAAAAGAGUCAGAGAGUGAUUAAGAAAUCUGCCCAAUGCUAUACUGAUAGAAGCUGGGAGAACUGGGAUUUGAGCUUACAUAGGCUAGUUCUAGCAUUUGUGAAGUUCUCGCCUAAUAAAAAUUAUCUGUAAUCAUAACCAGAGCAAGUCAUUUCUAACCUCCUGUCUAUAGACACGCGGAUACAUUUGUAAUGUUUUUGUUUGUUUGUUUUUAGCACGACAGAUCAAUUCCUGCUGGCAUUAUAGUUCUUUAACUAUCAUAGCUUCUCUGAUUUUUCAACACAUCUGUCAUCCGUAUUCUGCAGGCAUAGCCAACUCUGUCAGUGUCUCCUCAGGCAAUCAGAAUCAACAGACAGAAUGUAGGACAGAAAACUGGCUGCAAACAUGUUGGAAGGGCUGGAGGAGCGAAAGAGGGAAGAUCUGUUACCUAGAGAUAGUAACUUCCAGAAGUUACCACUAUACUAGUGCAGGAGAAGCAGAAAGGAAGAUGCUGCUACCCAGAGCCCACAGUCAUUGUGCCCCUGAUGCCGCUGGAACCCCACUGCAGCUGCUUUACAGGAAGCAGGGAAUUAGCGCUCUUGCUGAUGCUACAGGUAUCCAGGAUCCAAAAGUCAUCAGCCGCUGUCCCUGUUGCAGCCUAGGGAAACUGUCCCACUGAGGUUGUUGGGGUACCUGCUACUGCAUCUACUGUCUGAACCAUGUUGCCUGAGCAGAUGUCCAGGGCUCAGGCUUGCCUGCUGCUGUUACUGCUGCCACCAUGUUUAUCAGAGCUACUUCAAGAAGAGAAGAAAUCCUCCUCAUUUCCAGUUUUUUCCAGUGCCUCCCAUUGCUUCCCAGAAUGCCAAAUUCUCUUUGAGAGACAGCUGAAAGGAAGGUUUGGAAAAGACUCUGGUGUAAGCAGAUUCUGCUUCCCUGCAAUAGGGGGAAAGCAUAGGGUGGAACUGGAGCUGAGAGCUAAUCACGAAUGAGCAAAUCAGUCUUCAAGACAUUUACCUUUCCUUGAAACGUUUCCCUUCUUUUACCGUGUUUUCCAUGUCAUUAUUUUUCCACAAUUCUGCAUCAUAUUCUGUUAACUAUUAAUGCCCUGGAUAAGUUUAUUUGCUCUUUCUUAGGGUUAAUUUUUCUCCUUUUCUUCGAAGCUUUAGUUUGCAGGUUCAGCUUGUGUGGGAAUUUUCAUCUCCCUCCUCUUCAAGACUCCUUGGAUAUCAGUUUUUUGGUUGCCUUCACCAACUCUCCCCCCACCAUCUCUAGACCAGGGCAUGGUCUUAGUUGGUGGCUUGGACUCCUGUGGCUUGGAGUCUUUGGGGAUAUUAGAGAUCCAGUCACUGAGCUGGCAAAGGGAACACUGUCCUUGCUUCCAGCUUUAUGAAGAACGCUUUGCUCUGUCACCCCACGUAAAUAAUCAUGUUAUUCAAGGAUAAUGAAUGCAGCCACCAUGUAAUCAUCACUGACUCCAUGGCCAUGAGAAAAGAGACCUAAGAAAUGAUGCCCAUCCAGAAGAGUGAAGACUUCCUGAAAAUGUUCUUUUAACCUAAGAUGUAGGUUAAGAGGAGUGAAAAAAUGUUCUGUUUCUGACUGAUGAUGGAGCAACAAAGGAACUCCUAAAGAAGAAAUCAUCCAUUCAGUGAGAGCAAAUGAACACUCCAACAGACUGAAACAAAGCAUCUUUACAGGAGAUGUGAAUGCGAGAAAGCAAAGAGAACUACAGUCAGGGUCUCCGCUGGCAUGGCCCAAGCCCACCGUGGCAUGAUCCAGAGAGACGAGUCAGCAGAGCACUAUGGGCAGCUCCCAUACUCUUCGCAGAUCAACAAGCCAGCAUAUAACCCAGGGAGAUAGAUAAUAGUGAUGCUGUGCUCUGUAGAGGGUAGUGGCAACAGUGGGAUUUCUUCUGGAAUAAAUCUGUAGUGAGCCAGAUGUUUCUGCUGACUAUAUUACUUCUGACAGUGUAUAAUCCAAAAUUGUUUCCUUGGCCUUCCAAAAAGUUUUAUAAGCUCCCUAACGGCUGCAAUAAAUCCCUUUCUUCUUAAACUAGCUAGAGUGGAUUUUUGUUCUCUACAAAACAGAUCCUGCCACUAAGAACCCCACUAGUAUUUGUUGCCAUGAUUAGGGAAUAAGUUAAACCACUGUAA
This 3729-nucleotide long non-coding RNA is filed under the name Homo sapiens (human). RNAcentral describes it as "HSALNT0009917". Lineage: Eukaryota; Metazoa; Chordata; Mammalia; Primates; Hominidae. The record is from RNAcentral.